This 952-nucleotide small RNA is filed under the name Arabidopsis thaliana (thale cress). RNAcentral describes it as "ATSL222020". The record is from RNAcentral. Lineage: Eukaryota; Viridiplantae; Streptophyta; Magnoliopsida; Brassicales; Brassicaceae.
AAAUUUAAAGAGCUACCCAUAUAUUAAAGAGGAUGGGAAGACUUUAAAGUCCACCUUCAUUGACAAGUCCUUGCUACAACCAGUUGUGAAAAAAUCAACUACAUGUAUACAUUCAUAAAAUAAUACUUAUUGUGAAUCUAGAGGAAGAAAAUAUGCAUACUUACCGUUGACCAGUUUUGUGGCAGGAAUACCUGAAAUCUUCGGUCCAAUCCUCAGUCCAAAAGUUGUUGAGCAAGAUACAUUUUGCGAGUCUUAAAGAAAAUAAGACUCAUCAUAACAAUGCAUAACCUAAUAAAUUUCCUAAACACUUGAACAAUGGAUAACCAAGUUUACCUUUAAAGUAUUCUUCGUAUAUAUGUAGACCUCAGCUUUUCAAACGCCUUUAUUAGUUUAACGAGUUCUGCAAGACUAAACGUCUGACAAGAAAUUUCAGUUGAUGAUAAAUGAGUAAUUAGCAACAGAGAUAGGAAUGUCAUGGAGAAUAAAGUCAGAGAAAAUCACUGCCGCCAAAGUUCUAAUAAGAAACCUAUUGUACCCAUAAAGAGAAGCAAUAUCAUCUUUAAGCUGGUCAACAUAAUCAGACAUGUGAACGCCUUCUACUAUCUAUAAUUAUAUCCGACACUCAUAUUCAAGAUUGGUAAAGACACUCAUAUUCAAGAUUGGUAAAGAAGUUGAUGUGAGCGUAUCUCGUACAAUUAAGUUGUAUAAGAUGCUAUUAUAAUAACCGAUUGUGACAAAUCUACAUUUUUUAAUCCGAAAUUCACUAAGAUUAACAAGUACUAAGUUUAGAGUCUAAUAUAAUAGCAUUUUUCAUCAUAACACAUGAUACAAAUCAUACUUGAAUAUCAACUUGAUGUACCCUUUGGUCAUCAUGUUAUAUUAUAACAAAUACAAUGCAUUUUAUGCUUAGGCAUCAAAAUAAAAAGGCAUACUUUAGAAUUUAUUUUUAGGC